GACGAACGCUGGCGGCGUGCCUAAUACAUGCAAGUCGAGCGAAGUUUUUCUGGUGCUUGCACCGGAAAAACUUAGCGGCGAACGGGUGAGUAACACGUAAAGAACCUGCCUCAUAGACUGGGACAACUAUUGGAAACGAUAGCUAAUACCGGAUAAUAGCGUUAACUGCAUGGUUGAUGUUUAAAAGUUGGUUUUGCUAACACUAUGAGAUGGCUUUGCGGUGCAUUAGCUAGUUGGUGGGGUAAAGGCCUACCAAGGCGACGAUGCAUAGCCGACCUGAGAGGGUGAUCGGCCACACUGGGACUGAGACACGGCCCAGACUCCUACGGGAGGCAGCAGUAGGGAAUCUUCCGCAAUGGGCGAAAGCCUGACGGAGCAACGCCGCGUGAGUGAAGAAGGAUUUCGGUUCGUAAAGCUCUGUUGUUAGGGAAGAAUGAUUGUGUAGUAACUAUACACAGUAGAGACGGUACCUAACCAGAAAGCCACGGCUAACUACGUG
Molecule: ribosomal RNA, 499 nt
Filed under: uncultured bacterium
Lineage: Bacteria
Description: partial 16S ribosomal RNA
Rfam family: Bacterial small subunit ribosomal RNA
Source: RNAcentral